AGCUCGGUGGUGCAGGUGGUAGAGCACGCCCGCGUCACAUGUGGGAGAUCCCAGUUCGAUCCUGGGCCGAGCUC
Molecule: transfer RNA, 74 nt
Filed under: Stereum hirsutum FP-91666 SS1
Lineage: Eukaryota; Fungi; Basidiomycota; Agaricomycetes; Russulales; Stereaceae
Description: tRNA-Val (CAC) (tRNA-Val-CAC-4-1)
Source: RNAcentral